This 262-nucleotide ribosomal RNA is filed under the name uncultured archaeon. Its description in RNAcentral is "partial 16S ribosomal RNA". It matches the Rfam family "Archaeal small subunit ribosomal RNA", at positions 717 to 982 of the family's 1478-position model. The record is from RNAcentral.
AGACGUCUACAUUAGAUACCCGGGUAGUCCCAGCCGUAAACUAUGCGCGUUAGGUGUAUCGGUGACCACGAGUCACCGAGGUGCCGAAGGAAACCGUGAAACGUGCCGCCUGGGAAGUACGGUCGCAAGGCUGAAACUUAAGGAAUUGGCGGGGAGCACAACAACGGGUGGAGCCCGCGGUUUAAUUGGACUCAACGCCGGGAAGCUCACCGGAUAGGACAGCAGAAUGAUUGCCGGGCUGAAGACCCUGCAUGACUAGCUG